UUUGGCCGGUUUAUUGAUAAUAUUAUGAGUAGAUAAAUCUAUAUAAACCACCACAGACGUGUAUCCACAUCAUUUGAGUUAUAAGUCAAAGUGUGUAAACAUGAAAGUGUAUUUGUUGCUCUGUUUGAUGCUUGUUGCAAAUGCAUCGACGGUUUUCGCUGGUCCGAUUAGAGCAGGUGUAUGCCCACCUGGGUAUAUACGAGUUGGUAAUCAUUGCUUUCCGGAUGAUGAUGCCGAUGAUAUAUAAUGUUCAAGAUGUUAAAUAGUUCUGCAAGCAAGAUUUUUUUAUUAAAAUACUUGUAAUACCCA
This is a long non-coding RNA of Helicoverpa zea (corn earworm), 309 nucleotides long. RefSeq lists it as uncharacterized. The transcript has 2 exons. The record is from RefSeq and is a predicted model, not a curated record. NCBI's taxonomy places the organism in Eukaryota, Metazoa, Arthropoda, Insecta, Lepidoptera, Noctuidae.